AUUAGAUUAAGAGGCAAUACAGAUCAAAAGAAAUGAUGAUUUUAGGUGAAUGAGUUGCGCAACAAAAGAGAAAGACUGAAAUAUUGAUAAUCGUUGAGGUAGCGUAUUGAAAUAAUGAAUAUUCUAGAAUGGUGCGUCCGAGUAGACUCGAACUACCGACCCCCACCA
RNAcentral lists this antisense RNA (168 nucleotides) under Providencia stuartii. Its description in RNAcentral is "Bacterial antisense RNA HPnc0260". It matches the Rfam family "Bacterial antisense RNA HPnc0260". Lineage: Bacteria; Pseudomonadati; Pseudomonadota; Gammaproteobacteria; Enterobacterales; Morganellaceae. The record is from Rfam by way of RNAcentral. RNAcentral also lists the same sequence under 1 other name.